Molecule: ribosomal RNA, 254 nt
Filed under: uncultured bacterium
Lineage: Bacteria
Description: partial small subunit ribosomal RNA
Rfam family: Bacterial small subunit ribosomal RNA
Source: RNAcentral
AGGACGAACGCUGGCGGCGUGCUUAACACAUGCAAGUCGAGCGGAAAGGCCCUUCGGGGUACUCGAGCGGCGAACGGGUGAGUAACACGUGAGUAAUCUGCCCCUAGCUCUGGGAUAGCUCCGGGAAACCGGGAUUAAUACCAGAUACGACCACUUUAGACAUCUGUUGUGGUGGAAAGAAUUUUGGCUAGGGAUGAGCUCGCGGCCUAUCAGCUUGUUGGUGAGGUAAUGGCCUACCAAGGCGACGACGGGUA